This 368-nucleotide unclassified non-coding RNA is filed under the name soil metagenome. RNAcentral's name for it is "partial contains 5.8S ribosomal RNA, internal transcribed spacer 2, and large subunit ribosomal RNA". The stretch from base 1 to 120 matches the Rfam family "5.8S ribosomal RNA", at positions 35 to 154 of the family's 154-position model. The record is from RNAcentral.
GAUGAAGAACGUAGCGAAAUGCGAUACGUAAUGUGAAUUGCAGAAUUCAGUGAACCAUCGAAUCUUUGAACGCACAUUGCGCCCGGCAGUAAUCUGCCGGGCAUGCCUGUCCGAGCGUCAUUUCUGCCCUCGAGCGAGUCCAGCAUCUAGGUGCUGGGCCCGCCCGGCGUUGGGGCACUACGGGAAGCCCUGUGCUGUCCCCCGUAGGCCCCGAAAUGAAGUGGCGGUCCUGCCGCGGCGCCCCCUGCGUAGUAUAACAGCUCGCUUCGGGACCCGGUGGAGGCCUGCCGUCAAACCUUACUCUCUAAGUUUGACCUCGGAUCAGGUAGGGUUACCCGCUGAACUUAAGCAUAUCAAUAAGCGGAGGA